AGAAGUUCAAACCUUCUUGCUGACCGAGGGGUAUUAUAAACAAGGAGCUGCUAA
Molecule: transfer RNA, 54 nt
Filed under: Tiliqua rugosa (stump-tailed skink)
Lineage: Eukaryota; Metazoa; Chordata; Lepidosauria; Squamata; Scincidae
Description: tRNA-His
Source: RNAcentral